Long non-coding RNA from Oncorhynchus tshawytscha (Chinook salmon), 1012 nucleotides. The record is from Ensembl. Lineage: Eukaryota; Metazoa; Chordata; Actinopteri; Salmoniformes; Salmonidae.
GAGGGAGAGAGAGAGAGACCCUUCCCCCUAAUGGUUGAGGGGUAGGUCAUACUAUCUGAGGGGAGAGAGAGAGACCCUUCCCCCUAAUGGUUGAGGGGUAGGUCAUACUAUCUGAGGAGAGAGAGAGACCCUUCCCCCUAAUGGUUGAGGGAUAGGUCAUACUAUCUGAGGGGAGAGAGACCCUUCCCCUAAUGGUUGAGGGAUAGGUCAUACUAUCUGAGGGGAGAGAGAGAGAGAGAGAGAGAGAGACCCUUCCCCUAAUGGUUGAGGGUUAGGUCAUACUAUCUGAGGAGAGAGAGAGAGAGACCCUUCCCCCUAAUGGUUGAGGGGUAGGUCAUACUAUCUGAGGGGAGAGAGAGACCCUUCCGCCUAAUGGUUGAGUGGUAGGUCAUACUAUCUGAGGGGAGAGAGAGAGAGAGAGAGACCCUUCCCCCUAAUGGUUGAGGGUUAGGUCAUACUAUCUGAGGAGAGAGAGAGAGAGACCCUUCCCCCUAAUGGUUGAGGGGUAGGUCAUACUUUCUGAGGGGAGAGAGAGACCCUUCCCCCUAAUGGUUGAGGGUUUGGUCAUACUAUCCACCACCAUGUUUGACAGUGGGGAUGGUGUGUUCAGGGUGAUGAGCUGUGUUGCUUUUACGCCAAACAUAACGUUUUGCAUUGUUGCCAAAAAGUUCAAUUUUGGUUUCAUCUGACCAGAGCACCUUCUUCCACAUGUUUGGUGUGUCUCCCAGGUGGCAAACUUUAAACAACACUUUUUAUAGAUAUCUUUAAGAAAUGGCUUUUUUCUUGCCACUCUUCCAUAAAGGCCAGAUUUGUGCAAUAUACGACUGAUUGUUGUCCUAUGGACAGAGUCUCCCACCUCAGCUGUAGAUCUCUGCAGUUCAUCCAGAGUGAUCAUGGGCCCCUUGGCUGCAUCUCUGAUCAGUCUUCUCCUUGUAUGAGCUGAAAGUUUAGAGGGACGGCCAGGUCUUGGUAGAUUUGCAGUGGUCUGAUACUCCUUCCAAUUCAAUAUUAU